AACCCGGGACCUCUGUUCUGUGUUGUAGCCUUCACCAUGGAGAAGCUGAGUGCAGCAAACAACCACUUCGCCUUAGACCUGUUCCGUGCCUUGAAUGAAGACAAUCCGACUGGAAACAUCUUCAUCUCUCCCUUCAGCAUUUCAUCAGUGAUGGCCAUGAUCUUUCUAGGGACCAGAGGCAACACUGCAGCACAACUAUCCAAGACUUUGCAUUUCAAUACGGUUGAGGAGAUUCAUUCAAGAUUUCAGAGUCUGCAUGCUGAUAUCAACAAAAGUGGAGCACCCUACAUUCUGAAACUUGCUAAUAGAUUAUAUGGAGAGAAAACCUAUAAUUUCCUCACUGAGUUCUUAGAUUCAACUCAGAAAAUGUAUGGUGCUGAACUGGCCAGUGUAGAUUUUCAGAAUGCCUAUGAAGAUGCAAGGAAAACCAUAAACCAGUGGGUCAAAGGACAGACAGAAGGGAAAAUUCCAGAACUGUUGGCUGAAGGUGUGGUUGAUAGCAUGACUAAACUUGUGUUAGUGAAUGCCAUCUAUUUCAAGGGAAACUGGCAGAAUCGAUUCACGAAAAAAGCCACAGCCAAUGCACCAUUCAGAUUGAAUAAGAAAGACACAAAAACAGUGAAAAUGAUGUAUCAGGAGAAAGCAUUUCCAUUUGGCUACAUCGAGGACCUUAAGACCCGUGUGCUCGAACUGCCUUACCAGGGCAAGGAGCUGAGCAUGCUCAUUCUGCUGCCCGAGCACCUCUUCUUUUCCUCCUCAUUCUAAUUUCAGAUUGAGGAACAACUGACUUUGGAAAAACUGCAGGAGUGGACCAAGCAUUUGAAAGUCACUGAAGUCAAUGUUGGCUUACCCCGGUUCAAACUGGAAGACAGCUACGUCCUGAACAACCACCUCACCCGCCUGGGUGUGGAGGACCUGUUUAAUAGCACCAAGGCUGAUCUGUCUGGCAUGUCAGGAGCCAGAGGUCUUUUUGUAUCAAAAAUUGUCCACAAGUCCUUUGUGGAAGUGAAUGAAAAGGGUACAGAGGCAGCGGCUGCAACAGCAGGGGUGGUUGCCUUCUGUAGCUCGAUGUCAGGGAAAACUUUCAUUGCCGACCAUCCGUUCCUUUUCUUUAUUCGGCACAAUCCCUCAGCCAGCAUCCUGUUCAUGGGCAGAUAUUCUUCCCCUUAGAAGAAAGAGACUGUGUCGA
Otolemur garnettii (small-eared galago) is the source of this 1189-nucleotide RNA transcript. It is a transcript of the gene named leukocyte elastase inhibitor-like, with no coding region annotated. Lineage: Eukaryota; Metazoa; Chordata; Mammalia; Primates; Galagidae. The transcript has 6 exons. The record is from RefSeq and is a predicted model, not a curated record.